This is a long non-coding RNA of Olea europaea var. sylvestris, 521 nucleotides long. RefSeq lists it as uncharacterized. NCBI's taxonomy places the organism in Eukaryota, Viridiplantae, Streptophyta, Magnoliopsida, Lamiales, Oleaceae. The record is from RefSeq and is a predicted model, not a curated record. The transcript has 2 exons.
UCGAUUUGUGAUUGUGAAGGCAAUGGACUAUGGACUGGUGCCUGGCAGAGUGGUGUGAGUUGAGAGGACGGUGACCGGUGAGCGUGUGUGGCCUGUGACCGUGAGCGAUGAGGAGGUGGACAGUGGAGUCACUGGAGUGGUGCAACCGUGUGGCAUGCGAGUUGAGUGGACGGUGAGUCGAUCACCAGUGGCUGCGACCGCGAGUGAGACUUCUUGCCUUGGUGUCUGAUUAUGAUAACUGGAAAAAUUAUUGCUGAUCUCGAUUCUUGAGUUUAGUUGACACUUUUGUCUUCAUUGCAUUGCAUUGAGGUGAGGUCCCUGUACUUUUUGUGCAAACAAGAGCCUUUACUUGUCUGUAGCUAAAUUUAGUUCAUAAAUGAGAUUUUGUUUCUGAAUCCAUUUUGUUUAGAGGCAUUUACUUUAGUUGUUAAGAAAUGAAGGAAUAAUUGAAUUCCAAAACAGGAGUGAGUGUAGUGUGUAGUGUGAUCAUUUAAUUAGAAAUCUCACUUUUCAAUUGUUUA